This 253-nucleotide ribosomal RNA is filed under the name uncultured bacterium. Its description in RNAcentral is "partial 16S ribosomal RNA". It matches the Rfam family "Bacterial small subunit ribosomal RNA", at positions 524 to 776 of the family's 1533-position model. The record is from RNAcentral.
UACAGGGGGGGCAAGCGUUGUUCGGAAUUACUGGGCGUAAAGGGUCUGUAGGUGGCCAACUAAGUCAAACGUGAAAUCCCUCAGCUUAACUGGGGAACUGCGUCUGAUACUGGAUGGCUCGAGUGUGGGAGAGGAAUGCGGAAUUCCAGGUGUAGCGGUGAAAUGCGUAGAUAUCUGGAGGAACACCGGUGGCGAAGGCGGCAUUCUGGACCACAACUGACACUGAGAGACGAAAGCCAGGGGAGCGAACGGG